This 69-nucleotide transfer RNA is filed under the name Aphyosemion cognatum (redspot panchax). RNAcentral's name for it is "tRNA-Ala". It matches the Rfam family "tRNA". Rfam says of the family: Transfer RNA (tRNA) molecules are approximately 80 nucleotides in length. Their secondary structure includes four short double-helical elements and three loops (D, anti-codon, and T loops). The record is from RNAcentral. Lineage: Eukaryota; Metazoa; Chordata; Actinopteri; Cyprinodontiformes; Nothobranchiidae.
AGGGCUUUAGCUUAAUUAAAGUGUCUGUUUUGCAUGCAGAAGAUGUGGGUUAGUAUCCUGUAAGUCUUA